Mustela erminea (ermine) is the source of this 321-nucleotide long non-coding RNA. RefSeq lists it as uncharacterized. NCBI's taxonomy places the organism in Eukaryota, Metazoa, Chordata, Mammalia, Carnivora, Mustelidae. The transcript is spliced from 4 exons. The record is from RefSeq and is a predicted model, not a curated record.
GGGCAGGAAGAGCUGCUGCUCAGGGCUGUGAGGGAUGGCAGCCAGCCUCCUGCUCCCUCAUCAAAUUAUAUUCCAUCUCUCAAUGGAAGGAACAGCCAAGAACCUACAGCCAUGUUUAAUCUGCCACCACUAUGUAUACGGAGCUACACUGCCAUACUUGCAGAGUUAGUCAAAUGUUGUAGGUUACAGGAUUGUCUUGACAAGAGACCAGAGGAGGGAAAGCAAGCCAUCCCAGUGGUCUAUCAGGAUCACCUCUACUGACUCAGUGAAAACAACAAACUUGAGGGUCCUGCUUCUGCCUCUGACGAUGGUGUCCCUGUG